GUUCAGUUCAAUGGGAGAUUCAUUAUUCAGCUACUCCUAAUUUAAAGAUACAGUAUCCCCCCUCCCCCUGAAGAACAAAACAAAACAAAAAACAAAAUAGAAAAAGGACAUGACAUCUUUAUAUAUAAAUACUUUCAAA
Long non-coding RNA from Dermochelys coriacea (leatherback sea turtle), 139 nucleotides. RefSeq lists it as uncharacterized. The record is from RefSeq and is a predicted model, not a curated record. The transcript has 3 exons. Lineage: Eukaryota; Metazoa; Chordata; Testudines; Dermochelyidae.